ACGAACGCUUGCUGCAUGCUUUAUACAUGCAAGUCGAACGGAGGCCCUAGCUUGCUAGGUGUCCUUAGUGGCGCACGGGUGAGUAACACGUGGGAACAUACCUUAUAGUACGGAAUAACUGCGGGAAACUGUAGCUAAUACCGUAUAUUCCAGUAAUGGGAAAGAUUUAUCGCUAUAAGAUUGGCCCGCGCAAGAUUAGCUUGUUGGUGAGGUAAAAGCUCACCAAGGCUACGAUCUUUAGCUGGUUUGAGAGGACGAUCAGCCACACUGGGACUGAGACACGGCCCAGACUCCUACGGGAGGCAGCAGUAGGGAAUAUUGGACAAUGGGGGCAACCCUGAUCCAGCAAUGCAGCGUGAGUGACGAAGGCCUUAGGGUUGUAAAACUCUUUCAUCGGUGAGGAUAAUGACAGUAGCCGAAGAAGAAGGACCGGC
Molecule: ribosomal RNA, 434 nt
Filed under: uncultured Alphaproteobacteria bacterium
Lineage: Bacteria; Pseudomonadati; Pseudomonadota; Alphaproteobacteria
Description: bacterial SSU rRNA
Rfam family: Bacterial small subunit ribosomal RNA
Source: RNAcentral